CCGAGUGCCGCUCACGCCCG
This 20-nucleotide non-coding RNA is filed under the name Arabidopsis thaliana (thale cress). The record is from RNAcentral. Lineage: Eukaryota; Viridiplantae; Streptophyta; Magnoliopsida; Brassicales; Brassicaceae.